This 533-nucleotide ribosomal RNA is filed under the name uncultured Laccaria. Its description in RNAcentral is "eukaryotic LSU rRNA". The stretch from base 32 to 186 matches the Rfam family "5.8S ribosomal RNA". The record is from RNAcentral. Lineage: Eukaryota; Fungi; Basidiomycota; Agaricomycetes; Agaricales; Tricholomataceae.
UAGGAACUUGUUUUCGCUAUAAUAAUUAUACAACUUUCAGCAACGGAUCUCUUGGCUCUCGCAUCGAUGAAGAACGCAGCGAAAUGCGAUAAGUAAUGUGAAUUGCAGAAUUCAGUGAAUCAUCUGAAUCUUUGAACGCACCUUGCGCUCCUUGGUAUUCCGAGGAGCAUGCCUGUUUGAGUGUCAUUAAAUUCUCAACCUUCCAGCUUUUAUUGGCUUGGUUAGGCUUGGAUGUGGGGGUUGCGGGCUUCAUUAAUGAGGUCGGCUCUCCUUAAAUGGAUUAGCGGAACUUUUGUGGACCGUCUAUUGGUGUGAUAAUUAUCUACGCCGUGGAUGUGAAGCAGCUUUAUGAAGUUCAGCUUCUAAUCGUUCAUUGACUUGGACAAUUUUGACAAUUUGACCUCAAAUCAGGUAGGACUACCCGCUGAACUUAAGCAUAUCAAUAAGCGGAGGAAAAGAAACUAACAAGGAUUCCCCUAGUAACUGCGAGUGAAGCGGGAAAAGCUCAAAUUUAAAAUCUGCAGUCUUUGCUG